GCGCGGGGCCGGAGCCCUGGUCCUCAGAGGAGGCCGGCGAUGGCGGCGGCCGGGGGUGCUUCGCCGGAGCCAGCGGCUGCGGAGCAGCCGGCGGAGCUGCCUGCCUCGGUGCGGGCGAGCAUCGAGCGGAAGCGGCAGCGGGCGCUGAUGCUGCGCCAGGCCCGGCUGGCGGCCCGGCCCUACCCGGGGGCGGCGGCGGCUGCGGCUACCGGAGGUAUGGCUAAUGUAAAAGCAGCUCCAAAGAUAAUUGACACAGGAGGAGGCUUCAUUCUGGAAGAGGAAGAAGAAGAAGAACAUACAAUUGAAAAAGUCAUUCAUCAACCAGGACCCGUUAUGGAGUUUGAUUAUACGAUAUGUGAAGAAUGUGGUAAAGAGUUUAUGGAUUCUUACCUGAUGAACCACUUUGAUUUGGCAACUUGUGACAACUGCAGAGAUGCUGAUGAUAAACAUAAGCUUAUAACUAAAACAGAAGCAAAACAAGAAUACCUUCUGAAAGACUGUGAUUUAGAAAAAAGAGAACCAGCUCUUAAAUUUAUUGUGAAGAAGAAUCCUCAUCAUUCACAGUGGGGUGAUAUGAAACUCUACUUAAAAUUACAGAUUGUGAAAAGGUCUCUUGAAGUUUGGGGUAGUCAGGAAGCAUUAGAAGAAGCAAAGGAAGUUCGACAGGAAAACCGAGAAAAAAUGAAACAGAAGAAGUUUGACAAAAAAGUAAAAGAGGUUGGUGGAUAUGCUCCUGUCCUCCUGAAUAGGCCACAAAGGGCUGAGAGUGGAGGAGACACUGUAGAGAGUAGAAACAAGGAGCUUACUAUGCAGUUUGCCCAGAAGGCUCAGGACAGAGGGCAGUAAAAGCAAGUCUAAACGUUUUUUAGUUGAAAAGAAAUUGGAACCUGGUUCCUCUUGGUCUUCUGAUUUUGAUCCACAAAGAAGCUGACACAAAGUUUACUUCUUUAUGGAAAGAAUUACGGCGAGCAGUCAGAAGCAGUGUGUGGAAAAGGGAAACAGUUGCUCAUCAACAUGAGUACGGACCAGAAGAAAACAUAGAAGAUGACAUGUAUCGGAAGACUUGUACUGUGUGUGGCCAUGAACUGACAUAUGAGAAAAUGUGACUUUUACUUAAGCGAUCUGUUUUACAGUGUUUUGUAUUUAAAUAAGGGAAGUUUAGAUUGGUCCUGUUCAAAGUUAACCAAAAUGUAACAUGUCCAUAGAUGAAUGAAACCCUUGUAUAAAUAAUGCUUCAGUAAUAUCUAUGUGGUGGCUUGGGAGCAAGUUUAAGUCCGGCAGGUCAGGUGUGGAUAAAAUACUGGGUCUGUGAUCGUUUUUUUUUCUACAACAGGGAUGGAAGCUGAGUGGUAGAGUAGGUUCAAAAGUGUUAGGUCAGAGCCAAAGUUGAGAACUAAGAAACCAAGGCAAACCCUACACUGAGGCAGGAGGAAGAGCUUGUAAUCAAGGCAAAAGCUGGCUGAACUGGAUUCUCACCCCAAGAACCAACAGGGAUGGUGGCAGACCACUGCACCCCAGGGGCUGGGCCACGUCUCCAAGUCAGGGAGCUACUGCUGGGACAAAUCCUGACCAACAGUAGGACUAAACAAUGAGCUGUGGGAGCCUGACCCUAACAUUAAUGUCUAGAUAGCUCUCUUCAAAGACGGAUUCAAGUGGAAACCAGCUAUACUGUUUGUGGAUCAAAGGUGCUGACAGUAGGUUUAUCAUAACCUGCUGUCGUUUCCUGAGCACUUACCUUGUGCCAGGCGAGCACUGUGCUGAGUGCCUUCCAGGUAUUCUCAUUUAAUCCUGGGAGGGAGGGCCACUCGCUUCUGUGCUUAUUUAGCACUUCUAAAGGAAGUGAGAACCUACAACCUGACAUCAUCCAGACAUCUGGAUCAAAUUGAGCUAGCCAAAUUUUCCCCUAUCUUGUCAAAAGGAUCACAAGGUAGUCACAGCUAGUAAGAGGAUUUGAUCCCAUGAGCUUGAUUAUAGGGUCUAUGCAUUUUUUUUUGGACAAAAACAAAUUCAAGUUAAAGUGGAUAUUUUCAAGUUGUUCUUUGACAUGACUUCUUAUCCUACUGCUACAAAUAGAAGAAAGAGGAAGUGUAUACAUUUUUCUUUCUAGAUCGAUCAGCUCUUGGAGUUUAUGCUUGAAGAAAGGUGAACGUCAAAACAAGUCAAACCCAAAUAGGCUUGAGACUAUAAUUACUAAUUGUUCUCUGUAGGAGUAUUCAAUACAGAAAUGCUUAAUCUA
This is an RNA transcript of Equus caballus (horse), 2236 nucleotides long. It is a transcript of the gene named XPA, DNA damage recognition and repair factor, with no coding region annotated. The record is from RefSeq and is a predicted model, not a curated record. Lineage: Eukaryota; Metazoa; Chordata; Mammalia; Perissodactyla; Equidae.